AAAGACUCAACUUGUCAUGUAGCACAUUAUAUGGAAGUUGUGAACCCAUUGGAACCAAAAUUUGUCUCUUUUUUCGUGCCAAAAUCCAGAGUAAUUUACAUGACUGCUCUAUUAAAAAUGUUGGAAAUCAAUCAAGUCCAAGCCUCUGGCUCCUCUUGGUUUUGCUCAAAGUUCCCAUGCUACCAAUGACUUCCUUGAAGUUUCUGUAGCCCCUGACCAUAAAAAUGUUAUGCAGAUGCUAAAGAUCAUUUGAAUCACCUUUUUUGGCAGCUAGCAAAUGUGUGUUCAAUAUAUUACACAGCACUCAAAGUCACGGUUUCUGAUCACCAUCCGAUGAGUUCUUACCAUAAACCUAUUAGUGAUAUCUCUUAAUUGAUUAUUAGGAUAUAUCUUGAUUGAUCUUUCAUAUUCUAGUAUCUCAUUAGUGAUUUAGUUUCUAUUGUGAUUAGGAGAAGAUCACAUUCCUGUAUUAGCUGAAACUUUCCUUAUUUGUCGUUUGCUCUCUCGUAUAAAUAUAUACACAUACAUAUUAAUAAAAUAACAUCUCUCCAACAGGAA
Molecule: unclassified non-coding RNA, 558 nt
Filed under: Hevea brasiliensis (rubber tree)
Lineage: Eukaryota; Viridiplantae; Streptophyta; Magnoliopsida; Malpighiales; Euphorbiaceae
Source: RNAcentral